UUUCCGUAGGUGAACCUGCGGAAGGAUCAUUAAAGUUAUAGUCCCCCGGCCUCUCCGGGCUGGGGUCUUCUAUACCACCCUUUGUUUAUUACACCUUUGUUGCUUUGGCAGGCCUGCCCUCGGGCUGCUGGCUCCGGCCGGCUCGUGCCUGCCAGAGGACCUAAACUCUGUUUGUAUAUGAAGUCUGAGUACUAUAUAAUAGUUAAAACUUUCAACAACGGAUCUCUUGGUUCUG
This 235-nucleotide unclassified non-coding RNA is filed under the name plant metagenome. RNAcentral's name for it is "partial contains small subunit ribosomal RNA, internal transcribed spacer 1, and 5.8S ribosomal RNA". The record is from RNAcentral.